UUUGGUAUAGUUUAAUUGGUAAAAUGUUAGACUCAUGAUCUGAAGAUAUAGGUUCAAUUCCUAUUACCACGA
RNAcentral lists this transfer RNA (72 nucleotides) under Candidatus Riesia sp. RNAcentral describes it as "tRNA-Met". It matches the Rfam family "tRNA". Rfam says of the family: Transfer RNA (tRNA) molecules are approximately 80 nucleotides in length. Their secondary structure includes four short double-helical elements and three loops (D, anti-codon, and T loops). The record is from RNAcentral. Lineage: Bacteria; Pseudomonadati; Pseudomonadota; Gammaproteobacteria; Enterobacterales; Enterobacteriaceae.